UGAGUACGAGCUGCUACGGCAGCGAAGUGGGUGAUGUCAAGCUUCCAAGAAAAGCCCUAUACCCGUUAAGGCAUGAUGGCCUGUACCCGAAACCGACACAGGUGGGGUGGUAGAGAAUACCGAGGGGCGCGAGAUAACUCUCUCUAAGGAACUCGGCAAAAUGGCCCCGUAACUUCGGGAGAAGGGGUGCCACCGCAAGGUGGUCGCAGUGAAGAGGCCCAGGCGACUGUUUACCAAAAACACAGGUCUCCGCUAAGUCGCAAGACGAUGUAUGGGGGCUGACGCCUGCCCAGUGCCGGAAGGUUAAGGAAGCUGGUCAGCGUAAGCGAAGCUAGCGACUGAAGCCCCGGUGAACGGCGGCCGUAACAAUAACGGUCCUAAGGUAGCGAAAUUCCUUGUCGGGUAAGUUCCGACCCGCACGAAAGGCGUAACGAUCUGGGCGCUGUCUCGGAGAGAGGCUCGGCGAAAUAGAAUUGUCUGUGAAGAUGCGGACUACGUGCACCCGGACAGAAAGACCCUAUGAAGCUUUACUGUAGCUUGGUAUUGUGCUCGGGCUCGGAAUGCGCAGGAUAGGUGGGAGGCUAUGAACCAUUGCUUGUGGGUGAUGGUGAGCCACUGGUGAGAUACCACUCUUUCCGAGCUAGAGUUCUAACAGCCACCCGUUAUCCGGGGGCUGGACAGUAUCAGGUGGGCAGUUUGACUGGGGCGGUCGCCUCCUAAAAGGUAACGGAGGCGCGCAAAGGUUUGCUCAGGCUGGUUGGAAAUCAGCCGACGAGUGUAAAAGCAGAAGCAAGCUUGACUGUGAGACCUACAAGUCGAACAGGGAGGAAACUCGGCUUUAGUGAUCCGACGGUUCUGCGUGGAAGGGCCGUCGCUCAACGGAUAAAAGUUACUCUAGGAUAACAGGCUGAUCUCCCCCAAGAGUUCACAUCGACGGGGAGGUUUGGCACCUCGAUGUCGGCUCAUCGCAACCUGGGGCUGAAGUCGGUCCCAAGGGUUGGGCUGUUCGCCCAUUAAAGCGGUACGCGAGCUGGGUUCAGAACGUCGUGAGACAGUUCGGUCCAUAUCCGGUGCAUGCGCAGGAAUAUUGAGAGGAUUUCUCCCUAGUACGAGAGGACCGGGAGGAACGCACCUCUGGUGUACCAGUUAUCGUGCCAACGGUAAACGCUGGGUAGCCAUGUGCGGAGAGGAUAACCGCUGAAAGCAUCUAAGUGGGAAGCCCACCUCAAGAUGAGUAUUCCCAUGGGGUAACCCAGUAAGGUCACGGGAAGAACACCCGUUGAUAGGCUCUACGUGGAAGCGCAGUAAUGUGUGAAGCGGAGGAGUACUAAUAGGCCGAGGGCUUGACC
RNAcentral lists this ribosomal RNA (1349 nucleotides) under metagenome. Its description in RNAcentral is "bacterial LSU rRNA". It matches the Rfam family "Bacterial large subunit ribosomal RNA", at positions 1564 to 2925 of the family's 2925-position model. The record is from RNAcentral.